This 452-nucleotide ribosomal RNA is filed under the name uncultured bacterium. RNAcentral's name for it is "bacterial SSU rRNA". It matches the Rfam family "Bacterial small subunit ribosomal RNA", at positions 335 to 799 of the family's 1533-position model. The record is from RNAcentral.
ACUCCUACGGGAGGCAGCAGUGGGGAAUCUUGGACAAUGGGGGCGAACCCUGAUCCAGCCAUGCCGCGUGAGUGAAGAAGGCCUUAGGGUCGUAAAGCUCUUUCGCCUGUGAAGAUAAUGACGGUAGCAGGUAAAGAAACCCCGGCUAACUCCGUGCCAGCAGCCGCGGUAAUACGGAGGGGGUUAGCGUUUGUUUCGGAAUUUACUGGGCGUAAAGCGCGCGUAGGCGGACCAGAAAGUUGGGGGUGAAAUCCCGGGCUCAACCCCGGAACUGCCUCCAAAAACUCCUGGUCUUGAGUUCGAGAGAGGUGAGUGGAAUUCCGAGUGUAGAGGUGAAAUUCGUAGAUAUUCGGAGGAACACCAGUGGCGAAGGCGGCUCACUGGCUCGAUACUGACGCUGAGGUGCGAAAGUGUGGGAGCAAAACAGGAUUAGAUACCCUGGUAGGACAGUG